UAAAGCAACAGUAUUUGAUUACAUUUUUAUUUUAAUUUCUGUGUACAUGUUAAGGUCAAAGAACAAUUUAUAGGUUUCAGCUCCCUUCCUCUUUUUAGGAUUCUUUUGUUUUGUUUUUGUUUUUUCAGGACAGGGUUUCAUUGUAUAGCCCUGGCUGUUUUGGAACUAGCUCUGUGGACCAGGCUGGCCUUGAACUCAAAAAUCCCCAUCUCUCCUUCCUAAGUAUUGGCCUUAAGGUGUAUGCCACCACUGGCCAGUCUUCUUUUCAGGAUUCUGUUAUUGUUCUUCCAUGUAACCUUUACUCUGGUCUCAAAAAUUAUCUUUCUUCAAAGUUUUUCACUUUUAUGUUGUUUUUACUUUAUUGUAGUUUACGUCAGCAUACACUUAUGUUAACAUACAAGUAAGCCUUGUGGCAUUUUCCCCACGGUCUUUAAGAGAGCCAAGUUUAUUAGAGAUCCGCUGUGAGACUGCUCGGUGUCUAGGGACUGAUGCAGCGUGCUGAGGGAGAGGCAGACAGAGCCAGGUCUGUACACAGGGUAGUUUACUGAUGGACUUAUGGAUAGAAGUGUGGGCCUAGGCAGGAGCGACACUGGUUGGAGCCCCAAAACGUGGGCCAGAAAGAGGACAUGUAUGAGGAUGGAGACUGACGUGACCUUAUUCUAGCCGGAGUGACUCCAGUUCUCUUAGGAGUCUGCCAGAGCUGUUGCUGCAUCCUUGUACCAGGCUGUACUGCUGCUCUCUGCAUGCCCUAACAGCUCUUGUCUAUUAUCACUUGUUAGAAAACUACUGUGGAUGGUGAUUCGUGGGUGUACCUUGGGAAACAACCACGGUAGUUACAGCUGGAGAUGGCUGCAGUCAUAACAAGGGUUGGUUUUGCCGUUUCAAGACAGGGUCACACUUUGUAGUCCAGAUUGUCCUAGACUUCACUAUGUAGACUAAGCUCUCCUUGAACUCAGAGAUCUGCCUGCCUCUGCCCACUGCCCUCAACCCAGUGCUUCGAUUAAUGAGUGUGCUACACCAUCAACUCCAAGACCAAUCUUUUUUUGGAGAGAUGAGAGAUAAAGAGAUAGAAAAAGAGAGCAGCGGGAAUGGUUUCUUUUUCCAAAGCCAAUCUUUGCACAGCAUUCCUUAUGACCCUUUCUGUCUCCUGUGCCUUCCUCUGCCGCAGUGCACCCUGGUCCUACUCGAGGCUACAGCACCGUGCUGGCAGUGUGCGGACCAUGCUGGCGGUGCUGGGAGGUUGUUUGUUCAACUUGUGAAGAAAAAUCCACAGCAACAGGAGUAAUGCUGUGUGAGAAGAGACAGGGCACAUGCAGACAAUAAUAGUCAGCCUUUCCUGCUGGAGUCACCAGGACAAAAUCCUAGCAUGCCUCCUACAGAAAGGACUCUUUGCACAGCUUGGGCGUGGAUGGCCUUUGGGACAGACCUUACAACCCCCAAGCACUCAUAAGGAUCAGAUGUGGCAUCAAGAGGUUGUUCUCCAGGGACUUCAGCCUAGCCAGCCAAGGUGAGCUUCAGGCUCUGAAUUAGUUAUUUUAAUAAGCGGUUCUUUCUCUCUCCACCAAGCCUGCUGCCUAAGGGUUCUGUGGCAGACCAAAGUGCCAUGAUGUGUUUGGGUGUCAUCCCUAACAGCAUGUCCUGGGAAGCCGACAGUCUGGGUACUGUCAUUCUUCAGCCCUUUGACGGUCUCCCUCAGCUGGAAGACUUGGUGAAGCCAGGAGGUGUUUGUUUUACUCUGCCAUCCACAAUAUCAGCCCUCCAUACACUGCCCAGUCAUCAGUGCGCUUGACUUGCCUCAUGUGCUAGUAAAGGUAUCAGCCAUCCCUCAGCCUCUCUGGUAUUCUGCUAUCAGAGCCAGACAUAUCUGUAGUAGGUUGUGCUACAGGGUAGACACUUUGCCUUCUCAAUGACCUAACUGCAUACCUCCCAUUUUCCAGAAUAAGUUAAACCCCAUCCCAGGUGGUGAGGCAGCUUCGUAAGUAACUGGGCCUCAUACUUUCCACUGCCUAGAAGUAGUGAGAGGUCUGCCCUCUGAUGGUUCUCUGGUAGGCCAGUUUGCACGGUGACCAAUGGGGACUCUGUGUGCUCUCCAGUUAUGUCCUAGGGCAUUGUACACGGAUCUAUCCAGUUUCAGCCCCCUCCAGAGAUUUGAGCAAGGUACCUCCUGUUUCUGCCAGAGAGCCCAGCUCAUGCCAUCUGUAACCUGGAAGAGGGGUGCCCAGAAUUUGCACCUCAACUAUCCUUGUGCAUGUCUGUCUGUUCUUUGCCAGUGGGAGGUACAGGAGCCUUGUAUUUCAUCUUUUGCUCUGCCUGGAAACAAAUGAGUCUUAUCUGAUCUUGCCACCCCUAGGAAACUCCUGGGUGGCCUGGGGCCUUGGAUUUUGUUGGAGUUGAUGACCCUUUGUGAGAGGAGAUAUACCUUCAUCCUACUGAGUUCUAAAAGAGACUAUAACCUUCUUCCUUUUCCACAUGGGACCAGAUCAUAUCAGCUUGAAAUGGGGCCCUAAGUCACUAUGCUGUGACAGGAAGAGACUGAACAGGUAUUCCCGAGAAAGAACCAAACAAAGGCAAAGUCACAGAGCCAAGGUAGGGUGUGCCUUUUUAUCUGAUCCCCAGGUAAUGUAGGUACCUCAGCAUAGGUGCUAGGCCUUACCUUAUUUAGUUCCCUAUAAUCCACAGCCAUUCUUUAAGUUUUGUAUGCCUUGUUGGAGGUACUGUGGGAAGGCAUUGAAGUCCCAGCCCGCUCUGCUUCCUUUGCUGUCUCUCUAAUCUUAACAUGUCAGUUCUGUUUUGUUCUACUAUGGAUCUAAAGGCAGAAGGAUGAACCAGGUCCCAAUUUGCUUCCCCUCUCAUUACCGUCUUGGCUCUUUGAACCUUGAUUCCAAAUUCCCCGCAGGAGUCCCCAUGCCUUUCCUAAUGGAAGAGCACCCGGGAGUGCCCUCCAGGGUCAGGAAGCCUCCCAGCAGUCAGUACCACACUAUUGAUUGCUCUGAUGGAGUUGCCCUGGUGGAGCAUUCUGGGUUGCCUUGGAGCCAUGUGCUUUCAGUGUCCACACAUCAGAGCAGAGUUCUUUUCUUUGUCUCUGAGAACUAACUAAACAGUCAGCUCCAUGUGAGGCUGAGGUCAUUCUACAGCCUUUGCUUUGAGGUAUCUGAGAACUAACUAAACAGUCAGCUCCAUGUGAGGCUGAGGUCAUUCUACAGCCUUUGCUUUGAGGUAUCUUCAGCCCUACCCCUAGUCCCAGGGAGUUGGUGGGUCCAUCUAGUUUUGCCAUUACUGUUGGAUUAUAGAACUUCCUUGUCUUCCUAGGAAAUGUUCUUCCUCGUGUUCAGGCUUAAGAUCUGCCUCAAAGCCUCACAAGACUCCAGCAUCCUGUGUGUGUGUGUGGGUGGGGUGGUGUGUGUGUGUGUCUUUUUCAUAGGAGAGCUGCCACUAAGCAAAUCAUGUCCUCUUAUGUUAUCCUAACCCACCUUCCAUUUCUUUUUUCUCUUUCUUUUCUUUUGUUGUGAAGAGUUUCUCUUUGUAGACUUGGCUGUGCUAGACUCACUUUGUAGGCCAGGCUGGCCUUGACCACCCUUCAUUUCUUAUCUCUCUUACUUCGAUUUGCCCUUUUUUCCUGGCAGACUAGACGACAAAUCACAUACUGCUGCGGCCAUCAUUCAUCUGUCCCAAGUUGGCAAUAGCCUGGCCUGUGUCAGAAACACCCCGCCAAAUGAGGAGGGCAACAAAGAGGACAAUAAUCUUCUCCAGGAGUGUUCCUGACAGCUUGUGUUUGUUUUUGUUUCUUUUGAGACAGGGUUGCUCUGUGUUGCCUCCACUGUCCUGGACUCACUUUGAAGACCAGGCUGGCCUUGAACUCAGAGAUCUGCCUGCCUCUGCCUCCCUGAGUGCUGGGAUUACUGGCAUGUGCCACUAUGCCCAGCUCCUCAGCUUGUUUUCUAUUCUGCCUGUAAAAAUGUCUUCAUUGAAGCUGGGCAUGGUGUCACACACCUUUAGUCCCAGCACUCAGGAGGCAGAGGCAGGGGGAUCUCUGUUUGAGUUGGAUCUGAGUUCGAGGCCAGCCUGGUCUACAAAAGUGAGUCCAGGACAGCCAUGGAUGUUACACAGAGAAACUUUGUCUAGGAAAAAAAAUACCUCUUCACUCGGUCCCUGAGAUGGAGGCAUAAGUAGUUUGCUGCUGCUCAGUCCUGCAGCCCCCUGGGCUUCCUCUGUGCUUUCCUCUUCUGUGUGCCCCUCCCCCCACCCCCAUUCAGGCACGCCUCUCUCAUGCUCACUGUGAUCCAGUUUGCAGGACAAUAAUUUCUUUGGUUGUGGUGGGCACCAUACAGGUGCUGUCUAAGGGCCAGAAGAGUUGGCAAUGCUAUUCAUUUCCUCAGCUGUAUUUUGAGAGAAAUGCCACAACCUCCAUGUUCCACCCAUCACUUUUCAGACUCAGUGUGGCAGCGUCUGCAGGGUCCAUGGACUCUACAGUGAUACAGUAUUAGGGAGUGGACAGCCCUCCAGCAUUGGCACAUGCUGUGCCCUGUUGCUGGACUCUUUACCCCUGUAAGGUCAAGGAAAAAGCAAAGCUCAUAGGCAAAGAGUCCCGGACCUCCACCAUCAGCCUCAGUUUCUCUCUCAGGCCUCUCUCCCAGGUGUGCUACCUUGUGUAUCCACACUCACUGCAAGACAGCCCCUUGGAACUAUUUCUUAGCCCACUCCUCGCCUCCAGCCCACCCAGCAGCAAGCUAGGGCCUUAAGUUUGAUCUCUUGUUUUCCCACUUUCUAAGUAAGGUUGGAGGCAGAGAUAGAAGUAGAGACGUGCUAUCUCUUUUGAGUCAUAGUUCUUCCAGUUUUGUUUGCAGCCAGCUGGACAUCAAGAUGGAACAGCUGUGUGACCCAGAGAUACAGCCUCACACUCCGGAGGGGGAGGGGAUGUUUAUUUAUUUUUUAAUGGGAGAAUUUGAUGAUAAACCGUGGUGUACAGACA
Molecule: long non-coding RNA, 4969 nt
Organism: Psammomys obesus (fat sand rat)
Lineage: Eukaryota; Metazoa; Chordata; Mammalia; Rodentia; Muridae
Exons: 2
Source: RefSeq, a predicted model, not a curated record